RNAcentral lists this ribosomal RNA (648 nucleotides) under uncultured marine archaeon. Its description in RNAcentral is "bacterial SSU rRNA". It matches the Rfam family "Archaeal small subunit ribosomal RNA", at positions 23 to 677 of the family's 1478-position model. The record is from RNAcentral.
CUGACUGCUAUCGGAUUGAUACUAAGCCAUGCGAGUCAUUGUAGUAAUACAAGGCAGACGGCUCAGUAACGCGUAGUCAACCUAACCUAUGGACGGGAAUAACCCCGGGAAACUGAGUAUAAUGCCCGAUAGAACAUUAUGCCUGGAAUGGUUUAUGUUCCAAAUGAUUUAUCGCCGUAGGAUGGGACUGCGGCCUAUCAGUUUGUUGGUGAGGUAGUGGCCCACCAAGACUAUUACAGGUACGGGCUCUGAGAGGAGUAGCCCGGAGAUGGGUACUGAGACACGGACCCAGGCCCUAUGGGGCGCAGCAGGCGAGAAAACUUUGCAAUGUGCGAAAGCACGACAAGGUUAAUCCGAGUGGUUUCUGCUAAAGGAACCUUUUGACAGUCCUAGAAACACUGUUGAAUAAGGGGUGGGCAAGUUCUGGUGUCAGCCGCCGCGGUAAAACCAGCACCUCAAGUGGUCAGGAUGAUUAUUGGGCCUAAAGCAUCCGUAGCCGGCUCUGUAAGUUUUCGGUUAAAUCUGUACGCUCAACGUACAGGCUGCCGGGAAUACUGCAGAGCUAGGGAGUGGGAGAGGUAGACGGUACUCGGUAGGAAGGGGUAAAAUCCUUUGAUCUAUUGAUGACCACCUGUGGCGAAGGCGGUC